GACGAACGCUGGCGGCGUGCUUAACACAUGCAAGUCGAAUGGAAAGGCCCUGCUUUUGUGGGGUGCUCGAGUGGCGAACGGGUGAGUAACACGUGAGUAACCUGCCCUUGACUUGGGGAUAACUUCAGGAAACUGGGGCUAAUACCGGAUAGGAGCUCCUGCUGCAUGGUGGGGGUUGGAAAGUUUCGGCGGUUGGGGAUGGACUCGCGGCUUAUCAGCUUGUUGGUGGGGGAGUGGCUUACCAAGGCUUUGACGGGUAGCCGGCCUGAGAGGGUGACCGGCCACAUUGGGACUGAGAUACGGACCAGACUCCUACGGGAGGCAGCAGUGGGGAAUAUUGCACAAUGGGCGGAAGCCUGAUGAAGCAACGCCGCGUGCGGGAUGACGGCCUUCGGGUUGUAAACCGCUUUCGCCUGUGACGAAGCGUGAGUGACGGUAAUGGGUAAAGAAGCACCGGCUAACUACGUG
This 468-nucleotide ribosomal RNA is filed under the name uncultured bacterium. Its description in RNAcentral is "partial 16S ribosomal RNA". It matches the Rfam family "Bacterial small subunit ribosomal RNA", at positions 28 to 507 of the family's 1533-position model. The record is from RNAcentral.